AACCCCUUUGGAGUCUGAAGACCCACUCCUACGUCUCCGGCGUCUGAAGAGCGAAUGGCGCCUGCGAGCUGCCCAGUGCAUUUAUGUGAUGUCGGUGCAGCUCCCUCCGCAUGCCUCGUGCCACUCCCUCCGCCUGCCGCUCCCUCCGCCUGCUGCUCCCUUCGCAAUUAUUCUCUCAGUGUAUCGAAGAUAUCAGUCAACUAUCUUCUGGAUUGCAUUGAUGCUAUUGAGAAGGCAGCCUGCAGUCUAAAAGUCAUGGUUUUAAAGGUGGUUUGUUGCUAGUUGUUGGAUAUUGAGAACAUCAGUGUACUUGCCUCCUGGGAAUAUCGCCUAUGAAUGCAGUUGCUGGAUCAUUUGGCGGAACACACCAGGAGCCCCAGCGCAACCCUCCCCUCCAAUGUGCCUUCAUGCCGGUCCCUGUCAUCCAGC
RNAcentral lists this small RNA (429 nucleotides) under Pan troglodytes (chimpanzee). RNAcentral's name for it is "processed transcript". The record is from RNAcentral. Lineage: Eukaryota; Metazoa; Chordata; Mammalia; Primates; Hominidae.